UGCAGUUACGCUGUGACAUGAAAUGGACGUUCGAGGAGGAAGGUGGUCACACAACAGCCCCCCUGCCCCCCGCGCACAGGAAGGGACGUUUGGUGGCACCUGGCACGCACGGAGCUGAGGCAAAGGGGGCGAUGAGGGUGAGGGGCAGGUUUUGAUGGAGGGAAAUUUACCAGCUAGUCUGUAAGGGACGGAACCUUCUGGUGGGCCUGCCGCUGCGUCUGAGGAGAAAUUCCAUCGCCUGGAGGAGCACAGCCUGCCUCCCUGAGGGAUGCGGCGGGCACCGCUUUUCCCCCCCUUAGGAGGGAACAGCUUUGUUCCCAGCACUGUGGCUCCUUGUCAGGUGGAGACACAGCUAUUCUGGGCGCAAGGCUGGGAUUCAGACAGUGGAUGGUGCAUCUGGAUGCCAAGUGGCCAGAGGGCUGCAUGGUGCCCUUGGCUUUGCCCGAAGCUCCCCCCCCACCCCCGCCCUCUGCUCUGCAGAACCCCCCACCCCACCCCACCCCCGCCUCCCCUGCUGACCGCGUCGGGCUCUGCCCCCUGGACUGACAUGGAGAGGCCGGAGCCUGUGCCAGGGCAGGGGGCUGCUCUUUCCUGCUGGCUCCACGUCUGCCACGGGUCUCCGAGGGUGGCCGGACAGCAGGUCUUCAAUCCAGGAGCUUCAGUGUCUCCUAGAAGCAGUGGCUGGAUUGAGCUUGAAAUUCCUGCGACAUGUGCAAAGCUGGCUGGUGUCCCCACUCGGGGGUCUGGGCUCCCGGCUGACAGGACCCCUGCCCUGCAGUCAGGGCAGCACCCAGCAGGGGUCCUUGGCAGACCCUGACUCUCCAGGGCCUUGCGGGCUGAAUGUCCUCCCCCGACUCAUGCUGAAGUCUAAACCCCCUGGGGCCUCAGAAUGUGACUUUAUUUAGAAACACGGCCAGCCUGACGCGGUCUGGGCAGGGAGCCUCGGCACUUGCAGGAAAGUUCCACAGAUCUGUGUCCCCACAGCCUUGAUGGAACCGAGGCCGGGAGCCAUGCUAGACACCUUUGCAUUCUCAUCCUUGCUCUGACUUGUCACAGACGACCUCUUUUCACCCAGAGUCUGCUUCUUUCCUUCUGCAAAAGGAAAAUGAUUAGGUGCCAGCAUAUUCAGUGGAUGCUCAUUUGGUUGCACUUGAAAAUGUUCACUUACUGUAACGGGCUCGUUAUUGUGGGAAUGUAACUGGAACCUAGACUGCUACGACCUCAGGAAACAGGAACGACGCUGGGCACGAAGGUUCACUUUGCCCCACGGCAGCAGCCCCUCCCCCGGGGAAGGGGAAGGAAGCCCCCUCCCCUCCUGUCCCCCCUCCACCCCCACCACACACACCGGUGGUGGCUGGGUCUUUGGGAACCUGAGAGGCUUCCAAUCAAAGGCCCUUAACGGGUCCCCGGAGAAACUAAAACCUAUCAACUCAGACACACAGAAAUGCACUGUCUGCCCUGCAGCGUUCUCCCCAGUCCCCUAAAAUCUGGAGGAGUCAAGAACUGACCAGGACAGGGCCCUGGGCUGCUGUGUGUGGGACACCCGGCCUCAUGAAGCCUGCGUGGGCUUGUCCACAACCAGGCGGUAAGGCUGUAAGCAUCUCGAAAGCUGGCGUUCCCGUCGUGGCUCAGCAGUUAGUGAACCCGACGAGCAUCCAUGAGGAUGCAGGUUUGAUCCCUGGCCUCGCUCCGCGGGUUGGGGAAUGGAGCAUUGCCGUGAGCUGUGGUGUAGGUGGCAGAUGCGGCUCGGAUCCCACGUUGCUGUGGCUGUGGUGUAGGCCAGCCACCUGGGAUUGGACCCCUAGCCUGGGAACCUCCAUAUGCCGCAGGUGUGGCCCUACAAAGACAAAAAGACACCCCCUCAAAAAAAAAAAAAGAUAAAAAAAGGCUGUAAGCCUCUGGAAAGGUGAAGAAGAAGGGGGGGGGUCAGUGCUCCGUGGAGGGACUGGCUGAGGUGAGGGCUCUGACGCUCUUUUGCCCGAUGUCUGUUAUGCUUUUUAAAAAGCUGAAUAAAAUGCAGGUCGGUGUUCAUGCAGCGCUCAGCGUGGCAGGCAGGGGCUGGGUUUGAUCUUAAAGAUUUGGACUGGACUCUGUUCAACACACGGGCCUAAAAUAAUUAGAAAUGCAAUUAGAAAUGUUAGCCCUUUCAGCGGGAGCAAGGCUUAGACUCAUCUGAGACCUAAUUUUCAAGCCGCAGCAGAGCUGUGUUCCAGAAACCUCAUGGGGGUUUGGUUUCCCUCUUUGGAGGAACGUUUUAUGGCCCUGUGCGACUUUAGAAGCAGCCCAUCGCCAUGCGGGGCACACGCGGGCCUAUGAGCCAUGUUUGAAAUUUCUAACUUCAGCCUCUGAACAAAGAAACUAUUCUGCUGGAUAAUAAGACAUAUUUACUGGGAAGAAAAUGGCAGGCUUAUUGUAAGUUUUACAACAUGUAAAAACGCGAUGGGAUUUUUUUUAGAUCCAAAAUAAUUUAUAGCGCUUAAUGUUUCUCAGUUGGUGCAAAAACACAGAGCCAAGGCCAACACUCCAAUCAAAAAAGUGGGCAAAGGAUAAGAACAGACAGUAAUGGUACCUGAAGAUUCUGAAAUAUGAAAAAUAGGAAAAGACGGUCCCCGCAUUCAGCGUAAGAAAAAUGCAAAUUAAAAAACUCCAGCGAGAUGUCAUUUUCCAUCCAGUACCGGGGCAGAAGUCCGGAAGCUGUCGGUUCUGUCCAGGGGUGAGGCUGUGGGGAAACAGGCGGGGUACACACUGCCGGUGGGGUGGGGACGCCCACGGGCGCAGCGAUGCUCCAUUUGGCCGGAGCUUCCAGAAUUGUCAUGAAUCCCCUUCUGCAGCUUCAGCCUCCAGUGAGACUCGCACAUGUGCAAAAUGACGCGUCUACAGGACCUGGCACCGCAGCCGCGUCUAGCGUCUAUACCCACGGAGCACUGGCAGCAGCCCCGCUUCCACCCGAGGGAAUGUCAACUGAGCAGCUUGCAUCACUGUCGUAGCAGCUGUCGGGGGACACGCUCUUCCAGGUGAUAGGGGACACUGCCCAGUGUAUUUCGGCCAAAUAUUUCAUGAGCUUCGGAAUCAUCCCUCCAUCCCCUCGCUCAUCCUGGGCUCCGGCAGCUUUCGGGGGAGAGCGUGCCGACGCCUCGUGGCCACGGACUCUUUGCUUCUGUCUCUAAGUCUCUGUUGUGGCCCCAACAGGAAAGCAAAGAAGAGGCCCGCCCUCUCCACGGGUGCUCUCUCUGGCAAAUGCUGGUUUGGUGAACUAUUCCAGAAAGUCGCUGGGCCUUGCUCGCAAGCUUAGAGUGUCGUCACUUCCAAAAUUCAGCCAUGAGACUCGAACAAGUGAACUGACAGGACCUUGGCUCCACUGCUCUGAUUCUCCACGAGUUCACGCCACGAAAUGACCCUGACAUUACAUUUCCACGCUUGUUUUUUCAGUAAUCCCUACGCUCAUCCAUUCUAAUCCCAGGCCUGCUAAAAUAUCAGAAAUAAAAAUUCCCGGAUGCGAUAACCCAAAUAAAAUACUAAAACAGA
Molecule: long non-coding RNA, 3525 nt
Filed under: Sus scrofa (pig)
Lineage: Eukaryota; Metazoa; Chordata; Mammalia; Artiodactyla; Suidae
Description: lncRNA (ENSSSCG00050066359.1)
Source: RNAcentral